CCUACGGGAGGCAGCAGUAGGGAAUCUUCCGCAAUGGACGAAAGUCUGACGGAGCAACGCCGCGUGAGCGAAGAAGGCUUUCGGGUCGUAAAGCUCUGUUGUUAGGGAAGAACAAGUAACGCAGUAACUGGCGUUACCGUGACGGUACCUAACGAGAAAGCCACGGCUAACUACGUGCCGGCAGCCGCGGUAAU
This 194-nucleotide ribosomal RNA is filed under the name uncultured bacterium. Its description in RNAcentral is "partial 16S ribosomal RNA". It matches the Rfam family "Bacterial small subunit ribosomal RNA", at positions 338 to 524 of the family's 1533-position model. The record is from RNAcentral.